RNAcentral lists this ribosomal RNA (468 nucleotides) under uncultured bacterium. RNAcentral's name for it is "partial 16S ribosomal RNA". It matches the Rfam family "Bacterial small subunit ribosomal RNA", at positions 28 to 507 of the family's 1533-position model. The record is from RNAcentral.
GACGAACGCUGGCGGCGUGCUUAACACAUGCAAGUCGAACGGAAAGGCCCUGCUUUUGUGGGGUGCUCGAGUGGCGAACGGGUGAGUAACACGUGAGUAACCUGCCCUUGACUUUGGGAUAACUUCAGGAAACUGGGGCUAAUACCGGAUAGGAGCUCCUGCUGCAUGGUGGUGGUUGGAAAGUUUCAGCGGUUGGGGAUGGACUCGCGGCUUAUCAGCUUGUUGGUGGGGUAGUGGCUUACCAAGGCUUUGACGGGUAGCCGGCCUGAGAGGGUGACCGGCCACAUUGGGACUGAGGUACGGCACAGACUCCUACGGGAGGCAGCAGUGGGGAAUAUUGCACAAUGGGCGGAAGCCUGAUGCAGCAACGCCGCGUGCGGGAUGACGGCCUUCUGGUUGUAAACCGCUUUCGCCUGUGACGAAGCGUGAGUGACGGUAAUGUGUAAAGAAGCACCGGCUAACUACGUG